GCCUGGUUGGCUUAAUUAGUAGAGCAUAUGACUCUUGAUCUUGGCAUUGUGAGUCUGAGCCCCACAUUGGGUG
This 73-nucleotide transfer RNA is filed under the name Felis catus (domestic cat). It matches the Rfam family "tRNA". From Rfam's summary of the family: Transfer RNA (tRNA) molecules are approximately 80 nucleotides in length. Their secondary structure includes four short double-helical elements and three loops (D, anti-codon, and T loops). Further hydrogen bonds mediate the characteristic L-shaped molecular structure. tRNAs have two regions of fundamental functional importance: the anti-codon, which is responsible for specific mRNA codon recognition, and the 3' end, to which the tRNAs corresponding amino acid is attached (by aminoacyl-tRNA synthetases). tRNAs cope with the degeneracy of the genetic code in two manners: having more than one tRNA (with a specific anti-codon) for a particular amino acid; and 'wobble' base-pairing, i.e. permitting non-standard base-pairing at the 3rd anti-codon position. RNAcentral also lists the same sequence under 3 other names. The record is from Rfam by way of RNAcentral. Lineage: Eukaryota; Metazoa; Chordata; Mammalia; Carnivora; Felidae.